RNAcentral lists this ribosomal RNA (270 nucleotides) under uncultured bacterium. RNAcentral's name for it is "partial 16S ribosomal RNA". It matches the Rfam family "Bacterial small subunit ribosomal RNA", at positions 32 to 312 of the family's 1533-position model. The record is from RNAcentral.
AAUCAACGCUGGCGGCGCGCUUAACACAUGCAAGUCGAACGGGAAAGUGGAGCAAUCCAUGAGUACAGUGGCGUACGGGUGAGUAACACGUGGGUAAUCUACCUCUUAGUGGGGAAUAACCCUGGGAAACCGGGGCUAAUACCGCAUAAGCCUGAGAAGGGAAAGCAGCAAUGCGCUGAGAGAGGAGCCCGCGGCCGAUUAGCUAGUUGGUAGGGUAAAGGCCUACCAAGGCAGAGAUCGGUAGCCGGCCUGAGAGGGCACACGGCCACA